This 528-nucleotide long non-coding RNA is filed under the name Citrus sinensis (sweet orange). Its description in RNAcentral is "long non-coding RNA (CSIN_LNC004732)". The record is from RNAcentral. Lineage: Eukaryota; Viridiplantae; Streptophyta; Magnoliopsida; Sapindales; Rutaceae.
UUUAUUAAGCUCUUGUUACUACACUCAAUUGAUUCUAACAUUAAAACCCCUUUUUCUUUAUUUAUCCCAUCAAAUUUGUAUAGAGAUUAUAAAGUUUCUCAUGAAACUCCUUUAAUUCCAAAAAAAUCCCAGAUUUCUUCUUGAAUAAACCCACCUCAAAUACUACCCUUUCUUUCUCUUCGUCACUUUGUUCUCCCUCUAUAGUUUGUCCUAAUCUCUCUUUCUCUCUAUUUAGCCACUACUCGAUGAUUAUAUAACAAACUAAACUAUGUAAAUCAAUAUCUAGAUUGAUGUUCUAGAUUUGCAAGUAAUAAACAAAUUUUAAUUUUGAGAAAACUUGAGGUUUGGUGAGAAUGGUGGAGCUAUUUGGUAUUUAUUUAUUAUUAUUUUUUUUGGCAUCAUACAUAGAAAACAACAGCUGAAAAAGGCGCCAACAUGCUUUUCCUUACCAAUAGCUUUUGCUUUGGCUUGAGGACAUUUCUCCAGUCUUUACUUGUGAAUUUUCUUUUGAUCUUAAUGAAGUUACCA